UCUUCGGUGAAGCCAUAUUCAGCUCAAUAAGCUCUAUCAGUCCAUCUUCAGUCUCGGUUUCUGAUCAUCACUUUUACUCCGUGACUGUACUGAUCAACUGUGACUCGUGAUGAUAAUUUGGAGCGAAGGAAAAUAUAUAUGCAAGUUGCAGCAACUUGGGAGAAAAGUCCUGUGUGCGAUGAUUGCUGGAGCAAAUGUUUCUUCAUGGUCAGCAGGUGUCCGAAUUCUGAACUUUUCUUUAGGGAUGAAACGAGCUAGUAAUUAGCUACACUGUCCAUGUCACAUCCUUGGGUAUAUUUCAUUGCAUACAUGGGGAGUGAAGGUGGCCAUGGAUUCUCAGCUACGACAGACGCAACGAAAGACCACGGCUUGGCAGCUCCAAUGGUAGGAGUCGGCGGACGCAAGAUAACGUAUGGUGCUGUGCAGCACCAUGAAGCGCUGCGCAGCGAGGGCUCCAAGUUUUCUAGAUGAUGCGCCCGUCGCCGUCCGUCUCGAUUCUCUGCUCCGACGCAAGGCGGUGGCGAACAGGAUGGGAGCGCCCGCCCGAUCCAUGCUUGCGCUGGCGUGUCCGCUUCCGAAGCGGUGAAGAGUUGGAGGAGCUUAGGGUGGUCUCCGUCAGGAGGAAACCCCGCGGCCUCGCCGUCAAAGUCGGCUGUGGAUCGCCGGCGGCGGAGGUGGAGAGGGAGAAAUUUUACAUAUUACCCCUUAUUUGGAUCGUGAUUAAUAAUCGCGAUCCGAAUAUUUACAGUAACUUUCCUGAUUCGGAGCGUGAUUAAUAGUCGCGAUCCAAAUAUUUAACAAUAGUUGCUUUGGCCAAUGGCUUUCGCGUCCGCCGCCGGAUUCUUCGGAGAUGCGCAGCUGCCCCGUCUGGUGCUCCUCCGCAAAAUCCUCUAUGCUCGCCUUCGUCCUCCCUUCUCCGCCCCUGGAUGUCGAGCUGCCCCAAGUUGGAGAGGGCCUGUGACUCACCAGUCACCGCCGCCGUUUGUCCGCCAUGGCAGCUCGGCAGGAAUCUCCAAUCUCGCCGUCGAGCUCUCCUGAUUGAAAUGUUCUUUUCUCUGCUAUAUAGCGUCGUGAGCCGUGUUCACCCGUACAAAUCUAUGCCGUGUCUCUGCUUCCACUCACCUUCGCUGACGCAUUACUUUAUCUGCCUCAAUGGAGCCGUCGUCCCCACCUUCAUCCACCAGAAUGCUGCCGCUACCCUCUACAUCUACAGGUCGGCUUCGAACUCACCAACAGCGAUCACUUCUUCCCCGGCCCCGGCUCCGGCUGGACCUCUCCGCUACAUCCUGUUGUUCAGCUUACCAAUCUUCCUUCGGCUUCUAUGUCUGCUCCAGUUUCCUCGACGAUACACUGCUUCUCUGCUUCAUUCGGCUUGAUCCGUAUCCCUCUUCUCCUUCUUUAUUAUUUCUUUUCUAUUGCUGAAUAUUUAUAUAUAUUUUUUGUUUAAUUUGUGAUUGUGAACCUGUUCUUAUGCUCUUAUACUUGAUAAUUGCAUCCGAUUCGUAAAUGUUCAUGUGUCUGUUGGUGCAUAUGAGUUGGUAACCAAGAAUUAUUGCAACUUCUCCAUGCUACCUGCUGUCAUUUAGAUUCAGUAUCUCUGCUUUUGGCAGAUGUGAGCCAGUGAAAAAUGCAUUAUUCUAUUUGUCAGCUUGUGUAUCUGUGGGUUUAUUUCUUCAUAAAGUAAGUACCUGUUUGCAUUGCACUAAUAUGUUUUCUUUUCUGAAUAUCUAUGCACCUUAAGAAAAUGUGCAAGGAAGGUGCUCUCUGGGGUAACUAAUUGAAGUGGUUUGUAAAAUUUGUUGUUGCAAACUCAAAUAAAUGCAUUGACUUCUUUCCCUUCUUCUUUUACGCUCUGAGUAAUUCAGAUAUUUGUGUGUCUAUUACGCAGGUACUGUUGCUGGAGUUUAAGUAGGCAUGGUGUACGAUAGUUAAAAGGGUCUGUGGUCACAGUGAGUCAGUGACUGGAAGAAUGCAAUGAUCGGAGGGGCCUUAUCUGGUGCCCUGAUCUCUGAGGACGCCAUCACUGCUGGCGCCAUUCAGUUGCAACAGUCAUCGAGUUCUUCAACUAUAGUCAUGUAGCUGCAUUUGGAGUGCCAUUGUCGGACAUAUUAAAAAACAAAGGACUUCUUCGGUGAAGCCAUGUUCAAUUCAAUAAGCUCAAUCUUCAGUCUUAGUUGCUGAUGGACACUUCUGCUCCUGCGUGAAUGUUCUGAUCAACUGUUAUUCUGUGACGAUAUAUUGGAGUGAAGGAAAACAUAUAUGCAGGUUGCAGCAACUGGAGAAAGUCGUGCGAUGAUUGCUGAUGCAAGCGUCUGAACUUUUCUUCAGUGAUGACUUUUCUAGAGAUAAGAUGAUGAAUUACAGAUGCAACGGAAGGCCACGGCUUGGCAGCUCCAGCGACGCAUGGCAGGAGGCGGCGGACGCGGAUAACGUAUGGCGUUGUACAGCACCGUGAAGCAGGGUUCCAAGCUUCUGAAUGAUUACUAUAUAUAAAAAAAAGGCUUCUGAAUGAUGCGCCCGUUCUCUCCGUCGUCGAGGGCGGCGGCGACGAUGUACGAGGUGGCGGUGGAGGAGAUGGCGGGGCCCGAGGAGAUCAAGGCGGCGUACCGGCGCGCCGGGCGGUGGUGGCACCCGGACGCGUACCCAGGCGGCGUCGACCGCUUCAUGGCGGGCGUGAGAGGCCUACGAGGUGCUGCCCGACCCGAAGCGCAGGAGCGGCGCGCGGGGUUCGCUGACUGGGAGGCUCAGCUGGCCGGGCUGCAGUGGCGCGCGGCGGAGAGUGAGAUGUUACCAGGACGCCCGGUAGUCUGAACAACUCUUGUGUGAAUCAUCCUCUGACGAUGUUGGGAACAAUCUCAAUGAACCAGCCUGUUCAUUUUAA
Panicum hallii is the source of this 2881-nucleotide long non-coding RNA. RefSeq lists it as uncharacterized. The transcript has 3 exons. Lineage: Eukaryota; Viridiplantae; Streptophyta; Magnoliopsida; Poales; Poaceae. The record is from RefSeq and is a predicted model, not a curated record.